Molecule: ribosomal RNA, 242 nt
Filed under: uncultured bacterium
Lineage: Bacteria
Description: partial 16S ribosomal RNA
Rfam family: Bacterial small subunit ribosomal RNA
Source: RNAcentral
ACGAGUGGCGCACGGGUGCGUAACGCGUAUGCAACCUACCUUUAACUGGAGAAUAGCCUUUAGAAACGAAGAAUAAUACUCCAUAAAAUUGUCUUACGGCAUCGUAAGAUUCUUAAAGCUUCGGUGGUUAAAGAUGGCAUGCGUUCUAUUAGUUAGUUGGUGAGGUAAUGGCUCACCAAGACUCCGAUAGAUAGGGGGCCUGAGAGGGUUAUCCCCCACACUGGUACUGAGACACGGACCAG